CCUACGGGUGGCAGCAGUGAGGAAUAUUGGUCAAUGGACGAGAGUCUGAACCAGCCAAGUAGCGUGAGGGAUGACUGCCCAAUGGGUUGUAAACUUCUUUUGUCAAGGAAUAAAACGAGGCACGUGUGCCUUUUUGCAUGUACUUUAUGAAUAAGGAUCGGCUAACUCCGUGCCAGCAGCCGCGGUAAUACGGAGGAUCCGAGCGUUAUCCGGAUUUAUUGGGUUUAAAGGGAGCGUAGAUGGGUUGUUAAGUCAGUUGGGAAAGUUUGCGGCUCAACCGUAAAAUUGAAAUUGAUACUGGCAGUCUCGAGUACAGUUGAGGUAGGCGGAAUUCGUGGUGUAGCGGUGAAAUGCUUAGAUAUCACGAAGAACCCCGAUUGCGAAGGCAGCUUACUAAACUGUGACUGACAUUGAGGCUCGAAAGUGUGGGUAUCAAACAGGAUUAGAUACCCUUGUAGUC
This 460-nucleotide ribosomal RNA is filed under the name uncultured bacterium. Its description in RNAcentral is "partial 16S ribosomal RNA". It matches the Rfam family "Bacterial small subunit ribosomal RNA", at positions 338 to 795 of the family's 1533-position model. The record is from RNAcentral.